CUGGCGGCAGGCCUAACACAUGCAAGUCGAGCGGUAGCACAGAGAGCUUGCUCUCGGGUGACGAGCGGCGGACGGGUGAGUAAUGUCUGGGAAACUGCCUGAUGGAGGGGGAUAACUACUGGAAACGGUAGCUAAUACCGCAUAACGUCGCAAGACCAAAGUGGGGGACCUUCGGGCCUCAUGCCAUCAGAUGUGCCCAGAUGGGAUUAGCUAGUAGGUGGGGUAACGGCUCACCUAGGCGACGAUCCCUAGCUGGUCUGAGAGGAUGACCAGCCACACUGGAACUGAGACACGGUCCAGACUCCUACGGGAGGCAGCAGUGGGGAAUAUUGCACAAUGGGCGCAAGCCUGAUGCAGCCAUGCCGCGUGUGUGAAGAAGGCCUUCGGGUUGUAAAGCACUUUCAGCGGGGAGGAAGGCGUUGAGGUUAAUAACCUUGGCGAUUGACGUUACCCGCAGAAGAAGCACCGGCUAACUCCGUGCCAGCAGCCGCGGUAAUACGGAGGGUGCAAGCGUUAAUCGGAAUUACUGGGCGUAAAGCGCACGCAGGCGGUCUGUCAAGUCGGAUGUGAAAUCCCCGGGCUCAACCUGGGAACUGCAUUCGAAACUGGCAGGCUAGAGUCUUGUAGAGGGGGGUAGAAUUCCAGGUGUAGCGGUGAAAUGCGUAGAGAUCUGGAGGAAUACCGGUGGCGAAGGCGGCCCCCUGGACAAAGACUGACGCUCAGGUGCGAAAGCGUGGGGAGCAAACAGGAUUAGAUACCCUGGUAGUCCACGCCGUAAACGAUGUCGAUUUGGAGGUUGUGCCCUUGAGGCGUGGCUUCCGGAGCUAACGCGUUAAAUCGACCGCCUGGGGAGUACGGCCGCAAGGUUAAAACUCAAAUGAAUUGACGGGGGCCCGCACAAGCGGUGGAGCAUGUGGUUUAAUUCGAUGCAACGCGAAGAACCUUACCUGGUCUUGAC
Molecule: ribosomal RNA, 958 nt
Filed under: Klebsiella pneumoniae
Lineage: Bacteria; Pseudomonadati; Pseudomonadota; Gammaproteobacteria; Enterobacterales; Enterobacteriaceae
Description: bacterial SSU rRNA
Rfam family: Bacterial small subunit ribosomal RNA
Source: RNAcentral